Molecule: non-coding RNA, 516 nt
Organism: Pelodiscus sinensis (Chinese soft-shelled turtle)
Lineage: Eukaryota; Metazoa; Chordata; Testudines; Trionychidae
Source: RefSeq, a predicted model, not a curated record
AGCCCCUUUGCAGAGACUGAGUCAUCUCUCAACCUGAGGCUCAUUCAUGGAGUGUGUCAGGCGAGGGCGAUCACUGCUGAAUCAAUGUAUCUAACUCCUUGAAUGUCCACAUUUACAAAGAAGACGUUCCUGCUAAGAUUGCUAUCAGCUUUUUUUGAUUGUGUCUCAUCAGAACAAAUUCACAUAAGAUUAAAAGUCAUAUGAUAGCCGUUCCUCUCUGGAGCGGCUGGCGAAGCCAAUCGGAGUCGAUCCGUGUCUAAGUGCCAUUUCUGCACUGAAAAUGGACUGCAGCUUACCAAAUAUAUUGGAUCUCUGCUUUACAGAUUCCACCAUUCCCUGCUGUGCAUUUGUUUGUUUCAGAGAGAACAAUUUAUUUCUGAGAAAAUUGCUUAUAUUACUGGUAUGAAAUCCAAUCUGAGAGCAGCCUACGUUUCCACCGCUCAUCAUUCUCGUUAUGUAGUCAUGGAUUGGUAGAAUAAUAUACAAUGUUAGGGUCUCUUUGUAAUCUUUGUCAUA